This 64-nucleotide transfer RNA is filed under the name Strombidium rassoulzadegani. The record is from RNAcentral. Lineage: Eukaryota; Ciliophora; Spirotrichea; Strombidiidae.
AAGCUCAGGGAAAUCGUAAAGCAGUCCGCUUUUGAGAGGGAGAACUCGGAGACUUGCGAGCUGA